This is a long non-coding RNA of Chiroxiphia lanceolata (lance-tailed manakin), 906 nucleotides long. RefSeq lists it as uncharacterized. The record is from RefSeq and is a predicted model, not a curated record. The transcript is spliced from 3 exons. NCBI's taxonomy places the organism in Eukaryota, Metazoa, Chordata, Aves, Passeriformes, Pipridae.
GUGUACUGCCUAUGGUCCAUGGGGGACAAUCAUUGAUGGUAUAUGCAUCUCUAGUGGGUUUGAUGAAAAAACCAUGACAUUUUUCCCCUUGCGUCUUGAGACCGGUCAGAUCGCAAAAUGUCUCAAGAAUCUCAAGGUUUUUCUUCAUACCUUCCCAGGAUCCACUAAGUAAGACCAGAUCAUCGGCAAAAGCCAUGGCAGUGAUCGAGCUAUUCCUAUGAUGGAACCCUUUUCCGUAUUGUUCUAAUUCACAUAAUAAAGGGUCCAGAGCCAAAUUAAAUAAUAGUGGAGACAUAGGGUCCCCUUGUUUAACUCCCACUUUUAUUUGGAUCGGAUCUGAUUGUUCCUUUUUAAGAGAGUCCAAGCUACUCCCCCUCUUUACCUGCACUGCAGACAAUGCUGUUUCUUUCCCACUCGGAGCCCCGGGCAGAGAGCACAGCAGCUUGGUGCCCGCCAAGGGCCUCGGCUAAGCGCUUGGAACCCGCUCUAGCCGCCCGACUCGGAGAGCGGGGCUAGCCGAUGAGCCCAGAGAGCAGCUCUACCCACUGCCCUGGGAAACCAGGUCUACCCGCUGGGUUUGGACAAGAGGUCUACCCGCUGGGCACAGAUGACAACUCUACCCACUGCGCACCUCUGCAGCUGAGCUGAGGCAGCCACAGCCAUGCCACCUAGGCAGAGUCCAAGUUACUCCCCCUGUUUCCCCGCCCCACAGAGAACAUUUCUUCUUUCACCCUCAGGGCAGGGGAAAGCCUUAACGCCAGAGAGGAAGUCUGCCGCAAAGGGCCACGGGAGAUGGAGUCUUCACAGUAAGCCCCCCGAGAGAGUACUUAACGGAGUAUGCCCGCUGGAAGGACUCGCUAAGAACUGUGGGAAAUCAGGGAGGUCAGGGCAGGUCCGGAAGGGCAU